GGGAAAGUUGCAAAGUACUUUGAAGAGAGAGUUCAAGAGGACGUGAAACCGAUAGGAUGGAAGCAGAUGAAGUUGACGAACGAGUGUUGUAUUCAGAGCUGCAUCUUGUGUGCGGUUUGUUCUUGCAACCGAUGUGGGCCGGCGGCUCUGGUUAAUGCACUGUGCCAAUCGUCGAUGGUGACCCUGCGGAGGGAUAAUCGGUCGGCGUGCGGUGCGUGGUAUAGCUAGAGUUUCGCCGGUCUUGAAGUCAGCGCCUCAUCUGACCCGUCUUGAAACACGGACCAAGGAGUGUAGCGUUUACGCGAGUCUUAGAGUGUUUGAAAACUUUGAGGCGCAACGAAAGUGAAUGCAGCUUGAUCUGCUGACUUGGGAUGCGUUGUCUCUUGUGGACGGCGUCGGACCAAGGUUUUAUCGCGAUCGCUUGCGAUGCGGUGAAAAUAGAGCGUAAACGGUGCGACCCGAAAGAUGGUGAACUAUGCCUGAGCAGGAUGAAGCCGGAGGAAACUCUGGUGGAAGUCCGAAGCGGUUCUGACGUGCAAAUCGAUCGUCUGACUUGGGUAUAGGGGCGAAAGACUAAUCGAACCAUCUAGUA
Molecule: ribosomal RNA, 592 nt
Filed under: Steinernema nyetense
Lineage: Eukaryota; Metazoa; Nematoda; Chromadorea; Rhabditida; Steinernematidae
Description: eukaryotic LSU rRNA
Rfam family: Eukaryotic large subunit ribosomal RNA
Source: RNAcentral